This 464-nucleotide ribosomal RNA is filed under the name Vreelandella stevensii. Its description in RNAcentral is "partial 16S ribosomal RNA". It matches the Rfam family "Bacterial small subunit ribosomal RNA", at positions 338 to 795 of the family's 1533-position model. Lineage: Bacteria; Pseudomonadati; Pseudomonadota; Gammaproteobacteria; Oceanospirillales; Halomonadaceae. The record is from RNAcentral.
CCUACGGGAGGCUGCAGUGGGGAAUAUUGGACAAUGGGCGAAAGCCUGAUCCAGCCAUGCCGCGUGUGUGAAGAAGGCCUUCGGGUUGUAAAGCACUUUCAGUGGGGAAGAAAGCCUUGGGGCUAAUACCCUCGAGGAAGGACAUCACCCACAGAAGAAGCACCGGCUAACUCCGUGCCAGCAGCCGCGGUAAUACGGAGGGUGCGAGCGUUAAUCGGAAUUACUGGGCGUAAAGCGCGCGUAGGCGGUCUGAUAAGCCGGUUGUGAAAGCCCCGGGCUCAACCUGGGAACGGCAUCCGGAACUGUCAGGCUAGAGUGCAGGAGAGGAAGGUAGAAUUCCCGGUGUAGCGGUGAAAUGCGUAGAGAUCGGGAGGAAUACCAGUGGCGAAGGCGGCCUUCUGGACUGACACUGACGCUGAGGUGCGAAAGCGUGGGUAGCAAACAGGAUUAGAUACCCUAGAGUC